This 319-nucleotide ribosomal RNA is filed under the name uncultured bacterium. RNAcentral describes it as "bacterial SSU rRNA". It matches the Rfam family "Bacterial small subunit ribosomal RNA", at positions 29 to 334 of the family's 1533-position model. The record is from RNAcentral.
AGCGAACGCUGGCGGCGUGCCUAACACAUGCAAGUCGAACGUGAAAGGGAGCAAUCCUGAGUAAAGUGGCGUACGGGUGAGUAACGCGUAGGUAAUCUACCCCAGAGUCUGGAAUAACCUGCCGAAAGGCGGGCUAAUACUGGAUAGAGCGACGGAAUCCGUAAUUGGGUUUUUCGGGAAAGGGAGGAAGCAAUUCCCUUCGCUCUGGGAUGAGCCUGCGUCUCAUUAGCUAGUUGGUGGGGUAAAGGCCCACCAAGGCAUUUAUGAGUAGCUGGUCUGAGAGGAUGAUCAGCCACACUGGAACUGAAACACGGUCCAG